CCCCCUCUCCUUUCUCCUCCCCUGUCCUUCCCUCCCCUCCUUUCCUUUCUCUGCAUUUGUCUCCAGGACUGCUUAUGCAGACACCUACAUUGGACUGCCAUAUCCUCUUUCUCUAUCUACAGUGGGAUGGUCUUCUGGUGCCAGUGCUCCCCAGGGACCCACUCCGUGUGAAGGACAUGAACUCUGGCACUAGAGUAGCUUUGUUUUAUGAAUCAAAUAAAAUUCUGCAUGGGCAAAUACUCGACACAGUUACUCCAAGCAAUUUUUAUCGUUGCUUUGCAAAGUACAAUACACAAGUCUGUCUCUAGGCUCCUGUGCUGGUCAAGCCCCACUCACUGUGGAAUUCCAAAGUUAGCAGGCUCCAGAUCUUUCCACCAAGAUCAACAAAGGAGUGCAGUCCAAGGGAACGUUGACAGCUUCCUACAUGCUUGAUACAGGAAAAACAAAGACCAGACAGCCAUAGAUAUCAUUGUGAUCUUCUUAGAAUAUUCUAGAGAAGGUAGAUAUAGACCAGACAGCAAACAUUGCCAUGAACAUCAACUCAGGAGAGGCUGUAAUUUUACUUUUUAUUCCUGCUGGUGGAGGUGAUCAGGGAAGCUUCAGAAAAGAGAUGUGAAGGUACUGGGCUUCAAGAUUGAUUAAAAACAUUCCAUACAUUUCCUAUGCCUAGAAUUCUGGCACAUUGAACGCCGAGGCAAAAGGAUGGUGAAUUUGAGCCUGUGGUGGACUACAUAUCAAGAUCCUAUCGUGGGACACAAAAGAAUGACUGAAUGUUUAAAACUUACAGGGGUCUGGGGGGUCACCAAUAAAGCUAGACUGGCUGGCCAGUGAGCUCCAGUGAUCUACCCAGGUCCCCUUCCCCAGCACCGGGGUUCCAAGCUCAUCUUCUCACAUUCAUCUUCUCUACCAGGGUUCCAGGGAUCAAACCCAGAUCCUCAUGCUUGCACCGCAAGCCCUCUCUACUGACUGAGCCCACAAGCCAGAUAGUUUGAACAGCUGCUGGGUGGCCUCUGUUGUAGGUGCCAGCCUUCUGUAGCUCCAUGGCCCAUCAGUCAACCCCCUGGCUCUACAGAACUACGAUGCUGUACUUCCUAUGUUCCCGCUGUGGUAGUUACUAUGACAGAAACACCCUGACCAAGAACACCUUCAGGAGAGUAUGCUUUAUUUCGGCCCACAGUUUGAGGGAACAGCCCACCGUGGUGGAAGGGAUGUAAGGCAGCUUGGUCAUCACUGUGUCCACAGCCAGGAAGCAGAGAGAGAUGAAUGCUAGUACUCAGCCCAUCUUCUCCUUGUAUGGACGACGCUGUUCAAGUGACUUUUACUUCUGCUACACCUCUCUGGAGCCACAUCCACCCCCAGGAGUGUCUCCUAAGUGAUCCCAAACCCGGUUAAGUUGAAAAUGAUGAGGAACCAGUAUGCAUCGCCGCCAUCCUGCCACCACGGCUCUCCUCCAAGCUGUGAACACCACAUCCCACUUUGGUGACUGUGGCGAGCUCCUAGCAGCAGAUCUUGAUUCAUUGGCUAGAAUCCUGGCAAGUCUGCACUUAAUCAUGUAUUGAUGGGAACUGAUCCUACUAACUGGCCAGCUUCGUGGCUGUGAGAACUUCGAUGGGAAUGCCAAAUACACUCCCAGCACCUCCAAGAAAAGCCCCGCGAGUCUUGAGCAACCACCCACAAUGUAAAAGGAAGACUCUUCAGGGCCUUUGAGGCGGUGCGCACUUAGAAUGUCUCUCGGGGGAAGGGGACUCUAGAACAUGGGACAUUGUUUGAGAUGAUUUGAAUUCUGAAGUCUUCUCUUGAGGAAUGUCUUCUGGAGUGGUGGCACUGGAGCCACACCAAGGAGCUGUCAAGGAAGAUCUGCACUGAGAGUAAGUGGGGCCGAUGGUGCAUUCUCCCAGGAGCAUGGCUGCCGUCUGGACAACGAUAAAGAGGUCCAGAGUCUGUCCCUACUAGGAUGCCAGGGUUCUCUACAACACAGAUUCAACGUGACGCAUUAGAAGAGACAGUCUUUAGAGCUCGGGAUGGUUAUCUCCCACAAGAGGAGGACGUCUUCCUUUGUAGAUCCGAUGCCUGUUCAUCGUGACUGUCAGUGGUGUUGACUUCUGCAAUGGGCUGGAUGCUUCCCUGAGAGCACAGACGCCAUCUCAUUUAAUCCCUUCCCCCAAAGCCUCAGGCAGGUUAUUGUCUUCAUUUAACCAACGAUCCUCGAAGGUGAUGUGCCUAGAUCAACUCCACAGAGCAAGAAUCAGAGCCCGGAAGCAGAUCCGCUCCCCAUCCCCAAGCUGGAGGAUGGCCACAGAAUGGCAAUCCAGAGCCAGGAUUAGAAUCUGACUUUUUUUUUUUAAUUUGAU
This is a long non-coding RNA of Peromyscus eremicus (cactus mouse), 2351 nucleotides long. RefSeq lists it as uncharacterized. The transcript is spliced from 4 exons. The record is from RefSeq and is a predicted model, not a curated record. Lineage: Eukaryota; Metazoa; Chordata; Mammalia; Rodentia; Cricetidae.